RNAcentral lists this transfer RNA (67 nucleotides) under Potamiscus yiwuensis. RNAcentral's name for it is "tRNA-His". The record is from RNAcentral. RNAcentral also lists the same sequence under 1 other name. Lineage: Eukaryota; Metazoa; Arthropoda; Malacostraca; Decapoda; Potamidae.
AUUCAGGUAGUUUAGAUAAAAAUAUUGGUGUGUGGUAUCAAGGAGAUAGUUUAUAUUAUUCUGAAUU